UUUUCGAGAUUUUUGGCCUUAAACAUGUAUCUUAAAUACUUUUUCUAAUUUGGCUCACUUUGGUUUAUAUGAAAAAAUAAUAAAUCGACUCGAAUCCAACAUUAUCCGAACCAAUCUGAUUCGAAAAAUGUAUGCUUUCUAAACGGGUCCUAAACACCCCAACCUCAAUAACUUGAAAACUGAAUAACCAAAACCGACACAAACCUAAAACACGUAUGCACAUC
RNAcentral lists this long non-coding RNA (224 nucleotides) under Brassica napus (rape). RNAcentral's name for it is "long non-coding RNA (BNAP_LNC018613)". The record is from RNAcentral. Lineage: Eukaryota; Viridiplantae; Streptophyta; Magnoliopsida; Brassicales; Brassicaceae.